UACGUAGGGUGCGAGCGUUAAUCGGAAUUACUGGGCGUAAAGCGUGCGUAGACGGUUAUGUAAGUCGGGUGUGAAAGCCCCGGGCUCAACCUGGGAAUUGCAUUCGAGACUGCAUAGCUAGGAUGCGGAAGAGGGAAGCGGAAUUUCCGGUGUAGCGGUGAAAUGCGUAGAUAUCGGAAGGAACAUCAGUGGCGAAAGCGGCUUCCUGGUCCAGCAUCGACGUUCAGGCACGAAAGCGUGGGGAGCAAACAGG
This 253-nucleotide ribosomal RNA is filed under the name uncultured bacterium. Its description in RNAcentral is "partial 16S ribosomal RNA". It matches the Rfam family "Bacterial small subunit ribosomal RNA", at positions 524 to 776 of the family's 1533-position model. The record is from RNAcentral.